Molecule: ribosomal RNA, 253 nt
Filed under: uncultured bacterium
Lineage: Bacteria
Description: partial 16S ribosomal RNA
Rfam family: Bacterial small subunit ribosomal RNA
Source: RNAcentral
UACGAAGGGGGCUAGCGUUGCUCGGAAUCACUGGGCGUAAAGCGCACGUAGGCGGAUCUUUAAGUCAGGGGUGAAAUCCUGGAGCUCAACUCCAGAACUGCCUCUGAUACUGGGGAUCUUGAGUCCGGAAGAGGUAAGUGGAACUGCGAGUGUAGAGGUGAAAUUCGUAGAUAUUCGCAAGAACACCAGUGGCGAAGGCGGCUCACUGGCCCGAUACUGACGCUGAGGCACGAAAGCGUGGGAGCAAACAGGG